UACAGAGGUCUCAAGCGUUAUUCGGAUUCAUUGGGCGUAAAGGGUGCGUAGGUGGCGAUGUAAGUCUGGUGUGAAAUCUCGGAGCUUAACUCCGAAACUGCAUUGGAUACUGCGUUGCUUGAGGAUUGUAGAGGAGAGUGGAAUUCACGGUGUAGCAGUGAAAUGCGUAGAUAUCGUAAGGAAGACCAGUGGCGAAGGCGAAUCUCUGGACAGUUACUGACACUGAGGCACGAAGGCCAGGGGAGCAAACGGG
Molecule: ribosomal RNA, 253 nt
Filed under: uncultured bacterium
Lineage: Bacteria
Description: partial 16S ribosomal RNA
Rfam family: Bacterial small subunit ribosomal RNA
Source: RNAcentral